AAAUAUGAAGCAAUUAAUUGCAAUUAGUUUCGACCUAAUUAUUAGAUAACAUAUUAUCCAUAUUUA
Molecule: transfer RNA, 66 nt
Filed under: Blattodea sp. MT-2014
Lineage: Eukaryota; Metazoa; Arthropoda; Insecta; Blattodea
Description: tRNA-Arg
Source: RNAcentral